Molecule: long non-coding RNA, 1180 nt
Organism: Sipha flava (yellow sugarcane aphid)
Lineage: Eukaryota; Metazoa; Arthropoda; Insecta; Hemiptera; Aphididae
Exons: 4
Source: RefSeq, a predicted model, not a curated record
UCCGCGGGCAACGGACUCUGAGAAAACAAAUUUUUUCGUCUUCUCUUGUACAUUUUUCGGACCGGUUUUCGAAAAUUCGUACCGGUAAACAAUUUUGUUUUUUAUUUUAAACCGACUGUUUAAUAUUCAGUAAUACACACGCCAGUAACUUCCCUCCGGACCCCGACGUCAAGUUCUACUGAGCACUAUCCACUGCGGUACGACGUUGGUUUAAUGAAAACACGCAUUAACACUUGACAUAGUAUUUUUGUGACACACAAUUUUCAAUUUGAAAGAAGCUCAAUACUGUACACGCGUCCAGAGACAGCAAAUCCGAAUGGCUGCAAAAUGAUCAAAAAAGAAAAAUACAAUUUCAGUAGGAUACAAUUAUUAUAUAUAUAACAUGGUUAGAUGGCCCAUCUCAUUACAGAGGAUAACCUCUUAUCGGUGAUGGUGGAAUACUAUAAAGAGCUAAAUCUGUACAAGUCUGUCAACAAUAACAUUAUCGGAUUUAAUUUGUGUUUACGCAACAAAAUAAUUGAACUUAUAAUAGUCAACAUUUGAUACUUCAUGAUAAUCCUAUAUUUAUUUUUGGUUUCCGGUUUGAAAACAAUACGUUUUAUAUUGCAAGAAAAUAUAACGUUGUUGCGUUUACAUUGAGCGAAUUAUCUUGAACACGUUUUAGAGACGUUGACGUUUAUAUGUCGGCCAUAUUAUAAUAUCGCUGUUCCCGACGGAAAAACGUUAGUUUUUCAAUUGAAUUUAAAAUCAACAUGUACGUAACAUGUAAGCAUUGGUAAUAAUUCAACAUCGUACAAGUUUUAAGGAAGUCCGUCGAAAUCGUUUCCUAAACGGCACCGACCGAACAUAAUGGUCACUCGGUCCGUGCGCACCGGUUAACAACUGCAAGGCCGUUUGUCGCGUUCGGAUUGCCUAACCGGAACGAAGGAUAAUGAAAAACUCACUUCGAGACUUUAUCGACACGGCCAACUCCACCCUUUGCGAUGUGGAACUCGACCGAAAUGUAGUCGACGUACACCGAUAUCCACCCCCCCUCGCUGUGGGACAAAAUCGUUACUGAGAUUUUAAAAUUUCAUGAAAUUUAUUUUCUUGAAAUAUUUAAUUUCAACGAAAAAUAAAAAUAAAUAUAUUGUAUCUAAAACUUUAUAGUAUCAUUAAUUUGUAUGUGAACAUUUUUAUA